GUGGGGAAUCUUCCACAAUGGACGAAAGUCUGAUGGAGCAACGCCGCGUGAGUGAAGAAGGGUUUCGGCUCGUAAAGCUCUGUUGUCGGGGACGAAUGUGCAGUAUUUGAAUAAAGUACUGUAAUGACGGUACCUGACGAGGAAGCCACGGCUAACUACGUGCCAGCAGCCGCGGUAAUACGUAGGUGGCAAGCGUUGUCCGGAAUUAUUGGGCGUAAAGGGAGCGCAGGCGGGAAGGUAAGUCGGUCUUAAAAGUGCGGGGCUCAACCCCGUGAUGGGAUCGAAACUAUCUUUCUUGAGUGCAGGAGAGGAAAGUGGAAUUCCUAGUGUAGCGGUGAAAUGCGUAGAUAUUAGGAAGAACACCGGUGGCGAAGGCGGCUUACUGGACUGAAACUGACGCUGAGGCACGAAAGCGUGGGGAGCGAACAGGAUUAGAUACCCUGGUAGUCC
RNAcentral lists this ribosomal RNA (450 nucleotides) under uncultured bacterium. Its description in RNAcentral is "partial 16S ribosomal RNA". It matches the Rfam family "Bacterial small subunit ribosomal RNA", at positions 354 to 796 of the family's 1533-position model. The record is from RNAcentral.